RNAcentral lists this non-coding RNA (30 nucleotides) under Mus musculus (house mouse). The record is from RNAcentral. Lineage: Eukaryota; Metazoa; Chordata; Mammalia; Rodentia; Muridae.
UAUUAAGCAAAUCCUGGCUUCCUACUUCUC